This 253-nucleotide ribosomal RNA is filed under the name uncultured bacterium. RNAcentral's name for it is "partial 16S ribosomal RNA". It matches the Rfam family "Bacterial small subunit ribosomal RNA", at positions 524 to 776 of the family's 1533-position model. The record is from RNAcentral.
UACGGGGGGGGCAAGCGUUGUUCGGAAUUACUGGGCGUAAAGGGCUCGUAGGCGGCCAACUAAGUCAGACGUGAAAUCCCUCGGCUUAACCGGGGAACUGCGUCUGAUACUGGAUGGCUAGAGAUUGGGAGAGGGAUGCGGAAUUCCAGGUGUAGCGGUGAAAUGCGUAGAUAUCAGGAAGAACACCUAUGGCGAAGGCAGCUCUCUGGGACGGUACUGACGCUGAGACGCGAAAGCGUGGGGAGCGAACAGG